Molecule: long non-coding RNA, 581 nt
Filed under: Gallus gallus (chicken)
Lineage: Eukaryota; Metazoa; Chordata; Aves; Galliformes; Phasianidae
Description: lncRNA (ENSGALG00010006984.1)
Source: RNAcentral
GGGACAACAUAAUGUGGUGAAAUACCAUAUAGCAAAGAGAUCCAAGAAUCUUCCCUAAAAAUAAGUGAAUGCUGAGGCAACGCUGUGGUAAGAAGUGCCAUAAUGCAUGUAUUGGGUAUCAGGUUGGUACUGUGUGCUCUUUAAAAGCAAAGAUGGGUGUGCCUGCAUGCUGGUAGUCUAAGAGGGAGUGUUUAAGCUGUGUGGGAAGCCUGCGUUAUCUUCAGGCCACGAGGGUGCAAAUCAUGGAGAUCUCCUCAGACAGGCCCAGCUCUUGCUCAAACACAUGAAGCCCAACACAUGCUGUGAAAUGAGACCUUCUAUCUUCUCUUGAGUUCUUUCUGGAUGACAGCACCAUUCAUUGAAGAAGCUUCAAGUAGACUAAGGAGUUUGGAUAGGAAACUCUCAUGAGAAAACUAAAAAACUGUGGUACCAAUGUGGACAGAGGAUUCAUAUUGCUAAGAAGUUUUCAUGCCUUGCUUUUUUUAACCUGAGUUACCAGAAAUCAUAUCCUACAUGGUCUCUCACUGAUUGCAUGGACAUGAACACCACCUAAGGAGCAAGAGUAUUGCUGCUCAGAGAGG